The submitters of this non-coding RNA (148 nucleotides) gave its source as unclassified sequences. The record is from Rfam.
AAUACGCGGAAAACGAUGGGGACGAGUCCCCAAUGUGGUGCCGAGGGUGGCAAGCCACAGCAAACCUACAAUGAGUAGAAAGCUGAAAAAUCACGUGUCGGGCAAUAGGGUUUGGUAGGCUGGCAACAGUUCGAAGAAGUCUGGCCCG